GUACACACCGCCCGUCACAUCACGAAAGUGGRUUGUACUAGAAGUCYGYGUGCYAACCGCAAGGAGGCAGCGGCCCAAGGUAUGAYUCAUGAUUGGGGUGAAGUCGUAACAAGGUAGCCGUAGGUGAACCUGCAGAAGGAUCA
Molecule: ribosomal RNA, 143 nt
Filed under: uncultured eukaryote
Lineage: Eukaryota
Description: partial small subunit ribosomal RNA
Source: RNAcentral